RNAcentral lists this microRNA precursor (76 nucleotides) under Myotis davidii. RNAcentral's name for it is "mir-9229 microRNA precursor family". It matches the Rfam family "mir-9229 microRNA precursor family". Lineage: Eukaryota; Metazoa; Chordata; Mammalia; Chiroptera; Vespertilionidae. The record is from Rfam by way of RNAcentral.
GAGACACCCCUGUGGAGCAGGACUUGCUUCAGUGCAGCUUUGGUGCUCACUGAGUCUGCCCCUUGAGUGUGUUGCA